Molecule: transfer RNA, 73 nt
Filed under: Bacteroidales bacterium
Lineage: Bacteria; Pseudomonadati; Bacteroidota; Bacteroidia; Bacteroidales
Also listed under: 2 other names
Description: tRNA-Met
Rfam family: tRNA
About the family: Transfer RNA (tRNA) molecules are approximately 80 nucleotides in length. Their secondary structure includes four short double-helical elements and three loops (D, anti-codon, and T loops).
Source: RNAcentral
CGCGGAGUAGAGCAGUUGGUAGCUCGUCGGGCUCAUAACCCGGAGGUCGUUGGUUCGAGUCCAGCCUCCGCUA